GGUCAUUUUCCCUCCUAAUUGGAUUUCUUCUGAUUCAGUUGCCUAUAAAUUGAGUAUGGGGGAGAGUUGCGAUGCACAUAUCGAGUUCAACAGGGUGUAGUUAGGGUUUGACGGUAUGGUGUAUAACGAUAAGCUGAAGGAGGAUGGUAAGUUCGAUGAUGUUGCUGAAAUUGGUCGUAUUAAGGUUAGGGUGCAUGCUUCGUCUGUGGAAAGUACCUGCUUUUCUUAAUCCAAUUGAAUCCAAUUCGCUUGAGAUGGUUUUGGGCGAUGAGAAGGUAAGUCUGUUUUGUUUACUGUAUUUAAUUUGUGUUGAUCGUGUGUUAUGUGUAGAUAAUGAAUUAUUGGUUUAUUAAUUUUUAGGGUGGAAAAAUUCAUGCCACUGUUAGGAAGUUUNNNNN
RNAcentral lists this long non-coding RNA (398 nucleotides) under Trifolium pratense (red clover). RNAcentral's name for it is "long non-coding RNA (TPRA_LNC006881)". The record is from RNAcentral. Lineage: Eukaryota; Viridiplantae; Streptophyta; Magnoliopsida; Fabales; Fabaceae.